GCAGAGGCAAGCAGAACAUGUGAUGUGUAAGUCAGGCCUGUCUUUCCUGUUGCCUUUCUCUGCAGCACAACUCCUGCUCAUAUGUGGGGUACGACUGAAGACCUGCACCAGCCAAAGUGACCAGUGAAUGAUGGAAUCAGGGGAUUUUAAGAUGUUUAAAUUGUGCUGUGCAGUUUGAUAGGGCUUUAUGCAGCCAGUGGAACAAGAGAGGCUGCCCUUUAAGGUAACUUAAGGGAUGACUUUGAUGCUGAGAAAAUAUCUGGAGACAUCUGAUUUUAUCUAAGCAUCCUUUGAGGAGAUUCAGGAAUAGCACAUUUGGGGUGGAACUCUGUAGGGAGGGGAGGUCUGAGGAAAGGUUUUGGUUAUGACAUGAUGUUUCAUAGACUGCAAUAACAAGUAUUCUUUGGCAAAGCAGCCACAUAGGUAUGUUUGGCUGUAAAUAUAUGCCAAAUAGUUACAGCAAGCUGGGAGAGCUGCCUAAUGGGGAGGUGAGGUAAUUCUUCCUCUUUUACUCUGUGCUGGUUAGACCUUGUGAAAGUGUCAUACUUGGGCUUUAUCCUCAAAAGAAGAUAAAAUUGGGGAAACUAAGCCAAGAAAUGUACAGCAAAAAUGGGCUGAGAAUAGAAGCUCUGGGGAGAGCAGCUGUGGUGUUAAAGCUGUUUACUGUCAAGAGGAUAUAACUGCAAAGAGAUAAGCUCAUGUUGUGUGGGUUGUGGGUUCUCCUGGGCUGCUUCAGAAAAGAAGAGAAUGGGCAGUUCUCUAUGUCCUUGCUGGUUGGUAAACCAGGAUAGAUGAGAAGAAAUGGUAUUAUGGGAUAUAUAACUUAAGAUGAGGAUGGAGAAGCACUGGGAUAGAUUUGCCUUGGGAAGUUGUGGAGUUGUAGUCACUGGGGGUCAGAAGUCAAACAAACAUCUGCCAGCACAGAUAGAGCUGACCCUGCCUCAGGCAGGGUGAUGGGCUGCCUGGCCACUGCUCUGCGGCUCCUUCCAACCCUCUUUGUUAUGAUGACGUGGAAACCAAAUUCUGCAUAAAAAUAACUCAAUGUGUUGCCUUAUUCUGUAUUUUCCUCUGCAAGGAAGGAGGCUCAGGGUGUGCCCAGGAGGAAGAGAAGUGGGGUAAAGCCACUGUGUCAAGGGGCACAAUGUGACUGAGCUGUGAAAUCAAUAUAAUUAUUACUUUUAUCCUUCCCUUUAUUAAUAAUGGACUUUUUUUUCAUGCUAUCAAGGUAGCCAGCUGUUGCCUAAGCCAUUAAUGCACUGUGCUCUGAGCUAUGUUUUGCAGGCUUUUUUCCCCCCCUCUCAGGAGAGAUUUUCUUAUGAAGUGUUUUAUGAAGGCAAUGGAGCUGGAUGCUGGGGUACAAUGCACUGUGGCACUUUGUGAACUGUUCCUCAUGUUCUGGAACAAGCAGUGACUUUCUGACACAAGAAUCCUUUGCUUCCCAACUCCACAGGAUAACUGGACUGCGGAGAAUUCAGAAGCUGUUUGAAAGUCAGGAUGCUUUUUCCCGAGUCUCGGACCUGCUGAGGGUAAACAGCUCUGCCCUCUAGUGCCGCUUCCCGAAUCUGUUAAACCGGAGCACAUCGAUGAUCCUGGGAGCAUGCCUCACCCAGGGCAUCCCUUGGAGCACGCUGAUCAGAGCCAGCCCAGGGCUGCUCUGCGCAUCGUGCUGAAACCAGGCAGCUGCUCUGUUAGAAGGGCUUUAGCCCCAUGCCAGGCAGGGGGAGCAUGGCACAUGUUGGCAUAUCCCCUGCACAGCAUCCAUAAGGGGAAAUACAGUACAUCACCACUGACUUUCCUGGAGCUGGUGUUUGGAAGACCCCUGCUGCUGAUGAUUCAGAUUCCUCCUGAAGGAUCUGCUGCUGGUUGAUGGGAAGUUGUCAAAAUGCAUUGUGCCACUUCAGGAGGAGCACAGGGUAGCCUGCGACUCUUGUUCCUCCUCUUCGAGGAUGAAGAGUUGACAAGUUUAAAGGGACACACCAUGAGCAGCUGAGUCUGUGGGAGAUGGAGGAAGAUCAGGAACCUCUGACAGCUUUUGAGGCUUUGAAGAAUCGGACCCCAGGAAUGUUCAUCUAGAUAUUAAGGCCUGUGUUUAUAAGAGCAAUUGCUUUGCCAUGUUCUCCUUGAGGACCUGGCUGAGCAUCCAAAGAGGAGGUAUGCAUUGUCACUUCUGGUAGAGGCAGGUUGGCUGAUGUGACUGUAUCUGUUCUGAUGCUUUGAGCUUCUCGGCAUGCUGUGCCAUCACCAGCACUUGUUCCUAUAGCAGUUUUUGUUGCUCCUGUGCCCAGUAACUUCUGUUUGGGGUUUACUCUUCUCUUCUCAUUCUGUACUUGGACACAGAGGUAGUUCUCAGUCUUGCAAAUGGGCUUGCUUCAGCCCUGGCGUGUUGGUGCUUCCCUCCUUCAUUCUUUCUAUGUCUGGUGCAGAUGUGGAGGCUCUGCCCACUGGCCAGGGGCCGGCAGCUCACUGAUGGAGCCAUCAGCACGGUAACUUUGGCUGUAUCAGUUUCUCUCGGUCUCUGCAGCUUUCUGGGUUAGGAGAUCCAUCAGCCUGAGGGUUUAUUUGCACUAACACCAUGGGUGAGAAAACAAGCACUGCAUCAGGCCAUGUUUAUUUUAUAUCUCAGGAGCUGCUGGGAGCUGUGUCAGCCAAGGCAGUCCCACGGGCCCUGCUGGCUCCAGGGAUCUAGUCCUGCUGUCUGCAGGCUGUGAGGACCAUCUCUUGGGAGGCAGUCGUACACACUGCCCCCUGCCUAAGCUCCAGCCCCUGGGAACACCAGAACUCUCCAGGCUGGGCUUGCUGGGAGCUCUCCUGGUUUUCCUGAGGGUACCGUGGUGCCGCUUGGCAGCCCAGGCAAUGGCAUAAAUGAUUUUCUGUCCUCUUGUCUCAAACAUUAAAGAGACUACAGUGAUGGAGAGAGGAAGGAAUAAUGCAGCUCAGGGAAGAGCUGUGCUCCUGCAGGGGUUGCACUGGGCACACUCAUUCCCCCAGUGCACGCAGAGGGUUUUUUUAACCCUGGGAUCCCUCUUUGGUGCUGGCAGGGUGUCUCAGGCUUGUGUGGGCAGCAAUAGUUCCCGUAUGGCUGCAGAGUGUGCUGAGGCUGGUUCCUCUGUGCUUUGGGGUGAGGGAGAUGGUCCAUCCCAAGAUUGGCUCCAGCUCCAGACCAUGAGUGAAGGCUGCAGUGCCACAGCUCUGUGCAGUAUUAGCUGCCUGUGGCUGUAAUAGUCAGGGUGAUGGCUCUUCCAGGAGGAAAACACCUCAGCUGAAGCAGUGUUCCCCAUGGACACAUCGGUGUGCUUUGUGCUGUCACGCUGCGCAUCAGUCACAGCAAAGAGAGUGGCUCUAGCGGCGGCUGAGUUUGUGAUGAGGAUGUAGCAAGCGCGAUGACUCCAGAGCUGGUUCAGGUUCGUGCAGAGCCCUGGUGCUGGCUCCCCUCUGGCAUGGACACGCCGGGCCCUCGCUCUGGGACACUGCUUUGGGAUAAGUGCUGUUUCCAAUCUGUUCCUCGCCAGCUGUCAGCAGUUUCUGUGUGUGCCCACCAGAGAGCAACCCCAGCACAGGGUUGUUGUCUCCAGAGAGACAGAGGCUGAGAUGGAAGGUCUGGGUGUGAAGCCAAAUCCAUCUUCUCUCACCCUUUCCAGCCCUGUACCUCAUCCCAAACCUGAGCUAAGCAGUGAGUUUGGCCUCAUGGUGUCCUGGGCAAUAGGAGCAUUCCUCUGGGCAGGGAGGAUGUGCUGGCACGUGAAGCUCUGGCAAGAGACCCUGCCUGGGUCUU
Molecule: long non-coding RNA, 3772 nt
Organism: Pezoporus flaviventris
Lineage: Eukaryota; Metazoa; Chordata; Aves; Psittaciformes; Psittacidae
Exons: 4
Source: RefSeq, a predicted model, not a curated record